Molecule: long non-coding RNA, 3747 nt
Filed under: Homo sapiens (human)
Lineage: Eukaryota; Metazoa; Chordata; Mammalia; Primates; Hominidae
Description: HSALNT0401880
Source: RNAcentral
ACCACUGCUCUCUUCAAAGCUGUCAGACAGGGACAUUUAAGUCUGCAGAGGUUACUGCUGUCUUUUUGUUUGUCUGUGCCCUGCCCCCAGAGGUGGAGCCUACAGAGGCAGGCAGGACUCCUUGAGCUGUGGUGGGCUGGGCCCAGUUGGAGCUUCCCGGCUGCUUUGUUUACCUAAGCAAGCCUGGGCAAUGGCGGGCGCCCCUCCGCCAGCCUCACUGCCGCCUUGCAGUUUGAUCUCAGACUGCUGUGCUAGCAAUCAGCGAGACUCCGUGGGCGUAGGACCCUCCGAGCCAGGUGCCGGAUAUAAUCUCGUGGUGCGCCGUUUUUUAAGCCCGUCCGAAAAGCGCAAUAUUCGGGUGGGAGUGACCCGAUUUUCCAGAAAAUCAAGUCACCUUUGUAUUACUGUUCAUGAUCCUCAAGACCCCCAUUCAAUCCACCCAUAUUGCUCUGCGUUUACCACUGACAUGUUCACGUGAACAUAGAUUCCUUCAGUAAAUAUUGGGAAAACAUUUGCUUCAGGCCCAUUACUGGGUACCGCUUUGAUACAGAGGACACACCAAGGAACAAGACAGAUAGGACCUCUGCCUCUGGUAAGUUUGCAUUCCAGAGGGAGGAGAAGACAAUAAGCAAGCAAGCCAUCAAGACCACGUCAGAUGAGACGAAUAAAGUCAGACAGCUUCCAAGGAGUGGAUGCUUAUGGAGAGAUCACAUGGAGCCUUGUAGCUGAUUUAUAAUCUCAUGGUCCUCAUUCAUACAUCAAACCCCUGAAGGCCUGGCAUUUUUAUCUCCCGACUCAACCUGCAUGCUACCAGAAGCUCGACAAAAUUACGGUGAAUAAGACAUGCUUCUUCCCUUCAAGAAGCUUCUAGUCAAUGGAGGAUAUGUAAGGCAGCAAUCUAACAGCAAUACAACACUAAACGUUCCUUGAGAAAAACACAAACAACAGGCAGAACUCAUGUCUGAGUAGAAGCUUCUUAGAAGAACUGAGUAGAACUUGGAAGAAACAUGUACCUCCUUCACACACAUAAUAUUGUUUUAUACUAUGCUAUCUUGUUGUAGGGGUACGUGUUGAUAUAUAACCCCAUUUUGCAUGUGAAGUCAAUGGGCUCAGUGGGCUCAGAGAGAUACAGUGAUUGAUUUGUUCUAGUUCCUUUUUUUUUUUUUUUUUGAGACAGAGUCUCACUGUGUCACCCAGGCUAGAGUGCGGUGGCUCAAUCUUAGCUCACUGCAGGCUCCACCUCCCAGGUUCAAGCAAUUCUCUGCCUCAGCCUCCCGAGUAGCUGGGAUUACAGGUACACUUUACCAUGCCCAGCUAAUUUUUGUAUUUUUAGUACAGAUGGGGUUUCACCACGUUGGCCAGGCUGGUCUUGAACUCCUGACCUCAAGUGAUUUACCUGCCUCGGCCUCCCAAAGUGCUGGGACUACAGGCGUGAGCCACCACGCUUGGCCUGCUCUAGUUCUUGUAGGUAAUAAGAGAUGGUGUUAAAUUCCUGUAACUAAUAAGAGAUGGGCUCAAAUUCUCCCUUGAACUCUAAGUCUGGCCCCUGGGCCACAUAAAGUAGGUCCUCUAAGCCCCUUACACUGUGCACAGUUCAGCCCUAAGCCACUUGCCUAGACCCAUUGCAUGAACUGCAGCUGAAGCUGCUCCUGUCCCCUUCAUUAGUCAUCUGGGGUUACUGACUUCCCUUUGUUCUUCACACUUGAUGACAGCACUCUUGUCUUGCCCAUGUCUUGACUAUUCUUGACUAUAAUUUGAACCUUUAUUUUCAGGCUACCCUUUCUUGAGUAACACUAAGUCUAUCUAGCCUUGGAUUCGACCUGCUUUCUAGGCUCUUCUCACCUGGGUUCCCCCAGACUUUACUAGCAAAACAAUUCAUUCAUUCAUUCCACAAAUACCAAUUGAAUCUUUACUGUGUUCCUACUGUACUAAGUGGUGAUCAAAAUUGGAAGGAUCCCAGCUUUACGGAGUUUAUAGUUUAGUGAGGAAACUGACUUGGGGCAGACAUUCACACACAUAAUAAAAAUAUUAUAAUGGAGGGAAGCAUGAUAGAGAAAAGUAUGAAAAAGAAAAACAGGAGGUUCUAAUCUAGUCUACAUGUGUGCUGGUGAGUAUGUUGGAGAAGAGAGACAGUGUCAUGACAGGCUUCUAUAAGAAGAGUUUUUACGGCAGGAUCUGAAGUGUUGGAUAAAACUAAGUUACCCAGAUAAAGAAUUAAGGAAAUAGAAUUCUUAAGAGAAGUCCCAAAAUAUCUGGUCCUGAGGCAGGAAGCAGUUUGGCUUGUUCAAGAGCUAAAAGAAAGCCAGUGUGGUUGAGGCAUAGAGGCAAAAUAUAGCAAAGCAUUCUAAGUCAUUGAGGUUAGCACAGACAUUGAGAAUAAAAUAAUUAUUGCUUUAGUCCAGCAUAUUGUGUCUCCAAUAGAUAAGAUUUCCAAAAUAGUUUGGUCCAUAUAAUUUAUAAAAAUAUGAGUGCUUUAUUCUCUGUUGCAUGAGUAGGUGUUUUAAUCAGUCAACUUUGAGAUCGAGAGAGUUAUAAACCAGAAACUGAAAAAAUUACAUUAUUUCGUCCUACAGAAGAAUCAUCAUAGGGGACCCUUGUACUAUGUGUAGGCUGUACAAAAACUUGAGACUGUUCUUUAUCUAGAACAGGUUUUUAACAAUUUUCAUGAGCAACAUCAACAAUAUGGCAUGUUGGUUUGGAGUUUCAGUCAACUUUUUUCAGAAAGGUUUUCCAAUCUGUUUUCCAAAGUGUGUACUUUAAUCUGGGAGAGGAAGAUUCAUGGUCUUUUUUUUUUCCCUCUGGGCUUCUGAGACUGGAAAGUAGUAUUAAGUAGAGAAAAGUGGACACUGUAAAGAGGAAACUAAAUAAAUCCUUAAAGCCACUACUUGGCACCUUUUGUUUUUCUUUUCCUGGCAGCCUGCAUAGGUACUAGAAAGAAAAAUGUGGGCCAGGAGUGGUGGAUUACAUGACUGUAAUCCCAGCACUUUGAGAGGCCAAGGCAGGAGAAUUGGUUGAGCACAGGAGUUCAAGACCAGCCUGGGCAACAUGGGGAGACCUUGUCUCAAAACAAACAAACAAAAAGCCAGGUAUGGUGGCACAUGCCUGUAAUCCCAGCUACUCAGGAGGCUGAGGCGAGAAGACUGCUUGAGCACAGAAGGUGGACUCUGAAGUGAGCCAUGUUUGUUCCACUGCACUCCAUCCUGGAGCUUGGGUGACAGAGCAAGGCCCUGCCUCAAAAAAAUAGUGGUCUUUAGAGUCUUCUUCACAGUAAAAUUAGUGAUAAUGCCUUAUGAAAUCAUAAACAAUAAUAGAAUAAAGGCAAAUGGCUCAUUCUUGUGGAUCCUGCAUGAGUUCAAGAAAAGUUAGGGACUAUAUACUGGCAACAAAAAGUGAUCCCUGAGAUUUUUGGAGCACCUCAUUGCCAAAGCAAUCAAAAUGCUUUACACAUAUUCUUUCUUUUACCAUCACAUAAUUCUUGCAAUGUAGCAAAAAACUAUCUAAGGAUGGAAGGAUGUAUUUUAAAGAGGGGGAGAUGGGGACAUCAAAAGAGAGACCAGGCCAAAAGCACAAGCAAAAUAAUUAGUGGAGCAAAUAUGUUCAAUACUACUGUGUCUCAGUUCAUUUAAACAAAUAUUAAAUGAGUAAGGCAUAGCCAGUGCCUUCUAUGAAUCACAAUUCAGCAAGAAGGUUAAGAUAUGUUCAUUCAUUGAUGUAUUUCUUCAAUCAAUAAACAUUUGAGCACCUAUA